Dreissena polymorpha is the source of this 1292-nucleotide long non-coding RNA. RefSeq lists it as uncharacterized. The transcript is spliced from 5 exons. Lineage: Eukaryota; Metazoa; Mollusca; Bivalvia; Myida; Dreissenidae. The record is from RefSeq and is a predicted model, not a curated record.
CGGGAAUAAAUUAUGAUAAACCGUGACGUUGUUUGUUAAAAUCUUCAACCCUUUAUCAGCAGUUCGUCUCAUCGAAUCGCGGUACACAAUCAGUAGCAUGUGUCAAGGAGUAAAUCAUUGUUAACAUGAAGCACUUAAAGCAGGACAUGUGUAGAGUCGACAUGUAGCACAAUAAGCAAGACAUGUGUAGUGUCGAUUAAUGGAUUAAGCACCCAAGAGGGGCAGUGUGGGGGGGGGAUGAGCUGAACAACAUUUCAAUGCCAUAAAUUGACAAGUAAAUUAUUGUGAAGGAAAAUGUCAGAUUACAAGGACAUCAUUCGUAAGCCGGAAACCCUCAACUGGUUUAAGGCGGCUUUGGGUAUGAAAAUCACACGUGACUGCCUGCUUGAUAUUGUCAAGGUGGUAAUUAAGGAAUGUUAUGACAACAUCCGUAUAGAGAUCGAGAAACAGCGAGAUGGUGUUUUAAGGAGCAUUGUCUGUAAUACUUGUUCAACUGCAAAUGUCCUGCACUGUAACCCCGAAAAUAAAUGCUGCAAUCACGGAAAAUGUGUUUUUCACAAAACUGACAAGACAAAAAAGUGCCCGUAUAAUUUAUGCCAUAAAAUUUGCGAACAAAUUGUAAAACAACACAGAUUUUGCAAUCAUAACCGGUUGGAAAGCUGUAAAGGUCCAACGUGGAUAAACACGGAUGCCACUUUAUGGUGCUAUGAUCCUUGGCAGAUUGCGAAGUGUUAUCUGUCAAAAGAUGGGUACACGGACAAAAACAGCGCUGAAGAGACCGACUUCGCUGGAAUCAUAAAUGUCAUUAUCAACUGUGAAUACUUUCAAAAGUAUUUCAAAGACGAUCUGACGCCUUUCAAUUAAGAUUGGACGCCUAAGGAAAAUGUGGCCACUAAGGCUAGAGAUGUAAGGAAUGAAGUAUGCCAUUCUCCCGACAUUUCCAUGACAGGCCACGCCAUCGACACUCUAGUAGCGUUGUUGCAGAGCCUAAAACAUGUCGAUCACCAGGCCACAUUGAAGACGACAGUUGACAAGUUAACACAGGAUCAGCUGGGGAUAUAACACAAUGGCCGAGUUAUCCUGACCAUUCUGUGAACAGCAGAACAUAACCAAUUGUGAUCUGCAGAAUGAGAAAAUUAGCAAAUUUAAACAUGAUUUUGCACUACCAAAUGGACUUGGACUACAUUGAAUGUUAAGUUUUUUAUAUUAUUGACAUAUUGUGUGAUUUUGUUGUAUUUUGUGAUGUCUAUUUGAGAAAAAAAGUCGAAAAUAAAAAUAUAUUUUGUGUGAUA